GACAGAGGGGGCAAGCGUUGCUCGGAAUCACUGGGCGUAAAGGGCGCGUAGGUGGCCAACUAAGUCAGACGUGAAAUCCCUCGGCUUAACCGGGGAACUGCGUCUGAUACUGGAUGGCUUGAGUUUGGGAGAGGGAUGCGGAAUUCCAGGUGUAGCGGUGAAAUGCGUAGAUAUCUGGAGGAACACCGGUGGCGAAGGCGGCAUCCUGGACCAACACUGACACUGAGGAGCGAAAGCCAGGGGAGCAAACGGG
Molecule: ribosomal RNA, 253 nt
Filed under: uncultured bacterium
Lineage: Bacteria
Description: partial 16S ribosomal RNA
Rfam family: Bacterial small subunit ribosomal RNA
Source: RNAcentral